CCCUUAGAUGUUCUGGGCCGCACGCGCGCUACACUGAUGAAUUCAACGAGCUCCUAACCUAGGCCGAAGGGUCCGGGUAAUCUUUGAAAUUUCAUCGUGAUGGGGAUAGAUUAUUGCAAUUAUUAAUCUUCAACGAGGAAUUCCUAGUAAGCGCGAGUCAUCAGCUCGCGUUGAUUACGUCCCUGCCCUUUGUACACACCGCCCGUCGCUCCUACCGAUUGAAUGGUCCGGUGAAAUGUUCGGACCGCGACAAGGCGGACGGUUCGCCGUCAGCUUUGCUGCGGGAAGUUCAUUAAACCUUAUCAUUUAGAGGAAGGAGAANUCGUAACA
Molecule: ribosomal RNA, 330 nt
Filed under: uncultured eukaryote
Lineage: Eukaryota
Description: partial 18S ribosomal RNA
Rfam family: Eukaryotic small subunit ribosomal RNA
Source: RNAcentral